GAUGAACGCUGGCGGCGUGCCUAAUACAUGCAAGUCGAGCGAACAGACGAGGAGCUUGCUCCUCUGACGUUAGCGGCGGACGGGUGAGUAACACGUGGAUAACCUACCUAUAAGACUGGGAUAAAUUCGGGAAACCGGAGCUAAUACCGGAUAAUAUAUUUAACCGCAUGGUUCAAUAGUGAAAGACGGUUUUGCUGUCACUUAUAGAUGGAUCCGCGCCGCAUUAGCUAGUUGGUAAGGUAACGGCUUACCAAGGCAACGAUGCGUAGCCGACCUGAGAGGGUGAUCGGCCACACUGGAACUGAGACACGGUCCAGACUCCUACGGGAGGCAGCAGUAGGGAAUCUUCCGCAAUGGGCGAAAGCCUGACGGAGCAACGCCGCGUGAGUGAUGAAGGUCUUCGGAUCGUAAAACUCUGUUAUUAGGGAAGAACAAAUGUGUAAGUAACUAUGCACGUCUUGACGGUACCUAAUCAGAAAGCCACGGCUAACUACGUG
This 497-nucleotide ribosomal RNA is filed under the name uncultured bacterium. Its description in RNAcentral is "partial 16S ribosomal RNA". It matches the Rfam family "Bacterial small subunit ribosomal RNA", at positions 28 to 507 of the family's 1533-position model. The record is from RNAcentral.